This 468-nucleotide ribosomal RNA is filed under the name uncultured bacterium. RNAcentral's name for it is "partial 16S ribosomal RNA". It matches the Rfam family "Bacterial small subunit ribosomal RNA", at positions 28 to 507 of the family's 1533-position model. The record is from RNAcentral.
GACGAACGCUGGCGGCGUGCUUAACACAUGCAAGUCGAACGGAAAGGCCCUGCUUUUGUGGGGUGCUCGAGUGGCGAACGGGUGAGUAACACGUGAGUAACCUGCCCUUGACUUUGGGAUAACUUCAGGAAACUGGGGCUAAUACCGGAUAGGAGCUCCUGCUGCAUGGUGGGGGGUGGAAAGUUUCGGCGGUUGGGGAUGGACCCGCGGCUUAUCAGCUUGUUGGUGGGGUAGUGGCUGACCAAGGCUUUGACGGGUAGCCGGCCUGAGAGGGUGCCCGGCCACGUUGCGUCUUGGUUACGGCCCAGAGUCCUACGGGCGGCAGGAGUGGGGAAUCUUGCACCAUGGGCGGAAGCCUGAUGCAGCAACGCCGCGUGCGGGAUGACGGCCUUCGGGUUGUAAUCCGCUUUCGCCUGUGACGAAGCGUGAGUGACGGUAAUGGGUAAAGAAGCACCGGCUAACUACGUG